This 457-nucleotide ribosomal RNA is filed under the name Helcococcus sp. canine oral taxon 069. RNAcentral describes it as "bacterial SSU rRNA". It matches the Rfam family "Bacterial small subunit ribosomal RNA", at positions 9 to 496 of the family's 1533-position model. The record is from RNAcentral. Lineage: Bacteria; Bacillati; Bacillota; Tissierellia; Tissierellales; Peptoniphilaceae.
GAGUUUGAUUAUGGCUCAGGACAAACGCUGGCGGCGUGCAUAACACAUGCAAGUCGAACGAAAUCUACAUGAUUUAGUGGCGAACGGGUGAGUAACACGUGAGAAACCUUCCUUACACAGAGGGAUAGCCGUUGGAAACGACGAUUAAUACCUCAUGACACCGUGACAUCGCAUGAUGAUGCGGUCAAAGAUUUAUCGGUGUAAGAUGGUCUCGCGCCUGAUUAGCUGGUUGGUGGGGUAACGGCCUACCAAGGCGACGAUCAGUAGCCGAUCUGAGAGGGUGGACGGCCACAUUGGGACUGAGACACGGCCCAAACUCCUACGGGAGGCAGCAGUGGGGAAUUUUGCACAAUGGGGGAAACCCUGAUGCAGCGACGCCGCGUGAACGAAGAAGGCCUUCGGGUUGUAAAGUUCUGUCCUUGGUGAAGAUAANGACANAACCAAGAAGAAGCCCCGG